This 292-nucleotide ribosomal RNA is filed under the name uncultured bacterium. Its description in RNAcentral is "partial 16S ribosomal RNA". It matches the Rfam family "Bacterial small subunit ribosomal RNA", at positions 505 to 796 of the family's 1533-position model. The record is from RNAcentral.
GUGCCAGCCGCCGCGGUAAGACGAGCUCUCCAAACGUUAUUCGGUAUCACUGGGCUUAAAGAGUUCGUAGGCGGUCCUGUAGGUGAGGUGUGAAAUCCCUCGGCUCAACCGAGGAAUUGCGCUUCAAACCGCGGGACUUGAGGGAGGCAGAGGUAAGCGGAACAGAUGGUGGAGCGGUGAAAUGCGUUGAUAUCAUCUGGAACACCGGUGGCGAAAGCGGCUUACUGGGUCUCUUCUGACGCUGAGGAACGAAAGCUAGGGUAGCGAACGGGAUUAGAAACCCUUGUAGUCC